UUGGCCAUCGGACUAUCAGCUGUAACAUCGUCUUGGGUGGUAGACGUUCGACGGGAGUUUGCUAUAGUACUUGGUGGUUUUUGGAGUGGCGUAUUUAACAUAGCGUAGAGAAAUUGGCCCUGUUUUGAAUUUUUACGACGCAGCUGUUCAUCGCGCGACUAGACUACAGUUUCGUAAACAACCCUCGGUUGGCGCUUGAGAUUUCCAUUGAGUGUUACUUCCGGGCUUCUGCAAGGAUGCGUUUAGUACGAGUUUGACCCUGGAGGUCCUGUCCUUGCAGUUAAUCUUCAGGUAUGAUGAAGCUACCUCUCGCCAGCAACAGAACACUUCUUACUGGAGCCAGAGUUCAAGGAAAUGUGCAGGCACGGGGUGGAUUUGCGAACCUUUCAGUGUUAGUCUGAUAUUUCUUGGGAUUCAAGAUCUCGACAAGAUAUUUGGUUUCCAAAUUUUCCAUGCUGCCUGUUCCCUGAAAAUGCAGAUAGGUAUGUAGUUAGAUUCCUCAGAUAUUCCACAUUCCUUAACCUACCAUUUCCCUGUGUGUUAUUCUUUAAAUAUAAUAUUUAAUUAGUUUAGUUUGCAGUUCUUACUUCCUCAGUAUUUUUAUAAGCAAAAAAUUGAAAAUUUGGUUUAAUCUCUAAUGAUUAUGGUUGUUGAAGGUAAAAACUACUUUAUUAGCAAUAUACUAGUGUUUCGAAGUAUUCACGUGAGUGAGCGCACCUGUGAAACGAAUACAUAAGUCCUAUAAAAAAAUUUUAAUCAAAUUAAUAUAAGCCACCUUCAAGGAAUUGUUGAAAUGUUCAUUUGCCCAACACCUAUGGUGAAGAUGUGGUCGAGGUAUUUGUUGUGAAGACUCGAAUGCGCCCAGCUAAUUUGUAGGUCAUUGU
This is a long non-coding RNA of Macrobrachium nipponense, 884 nucleotides long. RefSeq lists it as uncharacterized. The transcript is spliced from 3 exons. The record is from RefSeq and is a predicted model, not a curated record. Lineage: Eukaryota; Metazoa; Arthropoda; Malacostraca; Decapoda; Palaemonidae.